CCACCGACCCGCCCAGACUGCAUCUUCACGGACCCAGAGGAUGCGAGUCAUGGGGCCGCGAACCUUUCUCCUGCUCUUUUCGGGGGUCCUGGUCCUGACCGAGACCCGGGCUGGCCCCCACUCCCUGAGGUAUUUCUACACCGCCGUGUCCCGGCCCGGCCUCGGGGAGCCCCGCUUCAUCAUCGUCGGCUACGUGGACGACACGCAGUUCGUGCGGUUCGACAGCGACGCCCCGGAUCCGAGGAUGGAGCCGCGGGCGCGGUGGGUGGAGCAGGAGAAGCCCGAGUAUUGGGAUGAGGAGACGCAGAAAGCCAAAGAGGCCGCACAGACUUUCCGAGCGAACCUGAACAACCUGAGCGACUACUACAAGAGGGAGGUCGGUGAGCGACGCGGGACCGGGUCCGGGUCACGGCCCCUACCUCCACGCCCCGGCGGAGUCACCCCAGGUGGUCAGGGCGGGUCAGGGUCUCACACGGUCCAGGAGAUGUACGGCUGCGACGUGGGGCCGGACGGGCGCCUCCUCCGCGGGUACGUGCAGUACGCCUACGACGGCAGAGAUUACCUCGCCCUGAACGAGGACCUGCGCUCCUGGACCGCGGCGGACACGGCGGCUCAGAUCUCCAAGCGCAAGUUUGAGCAAGGCGGUCAGGCGGAUCACGACAGAAACUACCUGGAGGGCACGUGCGUGGAGUGGCUGCGAAAAUACCUGGAGAACGGGAAGGACACGCUGCUGCGCGCAGACCCUCCAAAGGCACAUGUGACCCGUCACUUCAUCUCUGACCGUGAGGUCACCCUGAGGUGCUGGGCCCUGGGCUUCUACCCUGAGGAGAUCUCACUGACCUGGCAAUGCAAUGGGGAGAACCAGACACAGGACAUGGAGCUUGUGGAGACCAGGCCUUCAGGGGAUGGAACCUUCCAGAAGUGGGCUGCCCUAGUGAUACCUUCUGGAGAGGAGCAAAGAUACACAUGCCAUGUGCAGCACGAGGGCCUUCAGGAGCCCCUCACCCUAAGAUGGGAACCUGCUCAGACCUCCUUCCUCACCAUGGGCAUCAUUGUUGGCCUGGUUCUCCUCGUGGUGGCUGUGGUGGCUGGAGCUGUGAUCUGGAGGAAGAAGUGCUCAGGUGAAAAAGGAUGGAUCUACGCCCAGGCUGCAAGCAGUGACAGUGCCCAGGGUUCUGAUGUGUCUCUCACAGUUCCUAAAGUGUGAGACAGCUGCCUUGUGGGGACUGAGUGAUUAUCCGUCCCACUUUGUGACAUCAGAUCCCGGGACCCCUCUUUCUGCACCUGCAUCUGAAUGCAUCUGUGUUCCUAUUAGCAUAACGUGAGGAGUUUGAGACAGGAAAACAAACAGAACAUCUCAGAAGCAUCUGAGAAUCUUCCUGCUGUGCUGAGUCUGAUGUCAGUGGGACCAGAGAAGGAUACGAGGAGGUAUGAGCCCUCUCCAGUGAGUGCUGAGUCCUUUGUGGGCUUCAAAGUGGUCACUGGUUGGAUGAGUCAUCUUGUCUGUUUCUUUGUCCUUGUCCCUUUGGUGGGACAAGUUUCUACUAAAUGACUGAGGUCAGUGAUCAGAGAGCAUUCGGGUUGGGGAGGAGUCUUAAAUCCAUACUUCAACAGUUGUACUUUCCUAGGAAGAAAAGGGCUAGAGAUGCAUAUUGGUUUCUCUACCCUGAGGUACAUAGCCAGGUGGAAGACUGAAGAAGUGUUAUCAGCUCAAAAUAAUGAAAAUCAAUGAAUCCUUGCUGUUUGAAACUAUUACCUAAAUGGAUUUCUCACUCAUUCCUUAGUGUAAACAACAGAAUACAAAUUCUUCUGUUACAUAAACGAAAAUUGCGUGUAUGUGUACCCUAGGGACUCAUUUCAUUUCAGGAAAAGCCACAGAAUAAGCUUGAAGCUACACAGCCAGGAACAGAAUCCACAAUCCUCCUAGGUGGAGUCCCACUUCAGACCCACUGGCCCCAGCUGAGCACAGAUGUCACAGCUCACACCACUGAUCCCGUGCCGGGCUGGGACUGCUUUUGUUACUUCUCUUGGCAAAUGGGUGUCAUUACUGCCGUUCAUGCCACCUUUGCCAAAUGCAUUCUUCACUGUUUCAGCUUAUGUCACCACGCCCUGAGCCAGAGUCCGUAUGCGGUCACCUAACUGUGGACUUAUACUGUGUCUACCUGCAAGAAUGUUGGGAAAAUCCCACAUGCCAUGGAGCAACAGAGCCCACUGAUCACAACUAUUGGAGCCCACAUGCUUUAGAGCCUGUGCUCUGCAACAAGAGAAGCCAGCACAGCGAGAAGCCCCCGCUCUCCACUACUAGAGAAAGCCCUUGCACAGCAGUGAAGACCCAGCACAGCUAAAAAUAAAUAGAUAAUUUUUUUUAAAGUGUAUGAAGGUUAUCCUCUGCCCGUCCCACCAUUGUACAUUAGAUCUUGAUACAAAUGGCAAGAUUCCAUAUUUUAUAUGGCAGACUAAUAUUGCUCUUACGUUUUCAUAUCCAUUCAAUCAUUGAUGGGCACUUAGGCUGUCUCUAUAUCUUGACUAUUGUAGUAAUACUUCAGUGCACAUGGGGGUGCACAUCUCUUUUCUCCCCACUGAUCAAGCUGGCUUUAAUUGCUGACACAAAAACUUGCAUGUUUCACACUAGAACUGGCCCUGCACAGGUGUCUAAUGAAUGACCUUUUGACAACAGAGCCCCCUUCCCCCGUCAUGCGCCACCAUGUUUUAACAUGGGUCCCCUGAAGAAGCAAGUAAUUCAGAUGAGGCUCUGAAGAGCAGAUUACCUCACCUUUUUCCUGCCUCCAAUGUCCUUUUCCCAUGCCUAAGACCACCCUGCUUGGGAGGUGGGGGAGGAGGAGACAGGCAUUCGGCUUGUAGGAUCUUAGUUCCCCCACCAGGGAUUGAACCCGGGGCCCUUGGCAGUGAAAGUGCUGAGUCCUGCUCACUGAACUGCCAGGGAAUUCCCCUGGCCUGCUUCUUUGUCCUGUAAAUAUCGCAAGCCCCUGGCCUUUGGCGAAGGAAACAUUCGAUCUGUCCUCCCGUCUCCUCACUUGGCUGCCUUGUGACUAAAUCCUCUCUCUGCUGCAAUCCUUGGCAUGUUUGUGGUUUUGACUCACUGCUUACUGGUCAGAUGAACCUGUCUCAGUAACAUCCUCACUUCCAGGAGGGCUCUAGGCUUUACAACCUUGCCUUCUGCCUCCCACUUGCCUUCCAGACAGCAGAAGCUGAGGGAGGUGCAGGCAGAACGGCUUCCUUUAGUAGAGGCUUGAUGGGUGGGGCGGGUGGGGCAUGGCGUUGGCCAGUCAGAGGCCCCUGAAGAAGAGCUUGGGGCCUCGGUCCAGGGUGCACACUUUGGGGCCCAGCUGGCAGGCAGGGCAUCACGGUCCUCUGCGGAGAGACGGCUGCUGCACCAUAACGUUGUGCCAGAGGCCCAGGCGGCCUGGACAGCACAGCCUGACAGGCGGAGGAAGCUGAGGCCUCUGGACCAAUCUCGGAGGGCAGCCAGGAGCUCCUUCAAGCCAGUUCAGCUGAUCUCAGGGUUAGCAGACAAGUGAGUGAGACCAGUGAGGAGCAGAGACAGAGACAUCAGUUCAGAGCUCUUCAGGCCACGUUGCCCAGGUGGUUUGCCGACAGGUUCAGGUGCUCCAGGGCGCAGUCUUCCUGAAUCAGGUAGCUGACCAGGGUCGAUGAGGCCUGGGUCACUCUCGCUAGCAGCCACAGCACUUAGCUCCAGGUGCAGGAGGCUGCGGGCUGGCAGGCUGCUCAGGGCCUGGGCUAGGGCAGUGGCACCAGGCCAUUGUAGGACAGGGCCAGUGUCUUCAGGCACUGGGCGUCUCGGAAGGUGCUGCUCAGGGCCAUCUGGUGGUUCAGGAAAAAGCUGGCCUGGAGGUACAGGGUGCUGAGCGUGGGGCAGGCCCGCAGGACGGAGGUCAGAGCCUGGCCACAGCCAUCCCAGCAGGAGUUCCCCUAGCUGGUGGCAGACAGCGGCCUCCUCCGGCAGCUGCCUGCUCGUCUGUGCUCUAGUCUUGGCCUUGCUCAGCUGGUAAAACUCAUAGUCCAGGCUCAUACUCAGAGGUUCACCCAGUCGCCCCACCCAGGGUUCCAGACAUCCCGUGUUCUCCAUCGCCAUGGCUGCUACAUCUCUUUUUGAGUUAGUGUUUUCAUUUUCUUCAGAUAAACAUCCAGAAGUAGAAUUGCUAGAUUACAUGGUAGUUCCAUUUUUAAUUUUUUGAGAGAUCUCCAUACUGCUUUCCAUAAUGGCUGCUCUAAUUUUAUAUUCCCACUAACAGUGCCUAAGAGUUCCUUUUUCUCCACAUCCUCACUCACAUUUGUAGAAGACUUUAAUUAAAGUCCAGCUUAUCAAUUAUUUCUUUCAUGGAUUGUGCCUUUGGUGUUGUAUCUAAAAAGUCAUUACCAUACCCAGAAGUCAUCAAGGGUCUCUCCUUUAUCAUCUUCUGGGUGUUGUAUAAUUUAACGUUAUACAUUUAGCUCUAUACUCCAUUUUGAGUUAAUUUCUGUGAAGGGUGUAAAGUCUGUGUGAGAUUGAUGCUUUUUAAUAUAGAUGUCCAGUUGUUCCAGCACCGUUUAUUAAAGAGGUUAUCUUUCCUCCAUUGUAUUGCCUUGCUCUUUUGUCAAAGGUCAGUUGACAAUAUUUAUGUGAGUCUAUUUCUAGGCUCUUUAUUCUAUUCAGUUGAUCUACAUUGUCCCUUCGCAUCCACAGGAAAUUAAUUUCAGGGCCCCUCAAAGAUACCAAAAUCUGUGGAUGCUCAAGUCCCUUUUAAAUGAUCUCAUACUGUUUGUACAUAAUCUACACACAUCCUCCUGUGUACUUUAAAUCAUCUCUAGUUUACUUCUAAUACCUGUAAUACAAUACCUAUAACUGCUAUGGAAAUGGUUGUAAAUACACUGUAAAUGCUAUGUGAAUAGUUCCCAGUGUGUAGUAAAUUCAAAUUUUGCUUUUGGGAACUUUUGGGAAUUUUUUUUUUUCAUCGUGGGGGCAGUGGUUUGCCCUUUUCCUCUCUUUUAUGAAUUCUAGAAGAAUUGGCAAUUUUUCAGCUUAUUCAGGUUUUUACUUGUCUUAAAGACAGAAAGGUGAUUUCCAAGCUGCUCACGUGUAGAACUGAAACCAGAAACUCCCCAAAGAUCUUUUCACAUAACUGUUUUGCCUUCCAUUUUCCAUUUCUAGAAAAGUAGGCUAUAGUAUAUGGACAAAUCCUUCCACUGAAAAGAGGUAAAAAUACCAUGUUAAACUCAAAAACCAUCUUCUUAAAAGCAUCAGUGAGUUGAUAAGAAAGUAAUAAAUGACCUAGCCUCCCAAAGAAGGGAAAGAUCCUGCUUGCCCUUCAUAGAGAACAGUGUCCUGAAAAUGGAGAAACAGUUCUAUGAGUUUAUUGCACCAGAGUCUAAACAUGGCAGUCCUACACUCCCAGCUGUUUGCCCCAAGUUCCUGACUUUUUCUACCCAUCUGUCUUCCCUUUCAAACUCUAAACCAAGUUUUAAAAAUUCUGAUUAUAAUGUAUACAGAUAUUCUAUAAUGUAUGAUAAAGUAUGUUCACUAUAGAAAAUUUAUAAAAUGAUGAAACUGAUAAUAAAAAUAGCCAUAGCCUUCACACUUGGAAAUAUUCUGUUGUAUUUUCUUCUAGUUUAUUAUAUAACCUGCUGCUGCCCAAGGGCCACAGCUCUAAGUUGAUGAGCCCAGAUCUCAGUGGCCCCAAGUUCUGUGUCUGUAUCUCUGCCUUCCAACUAGUGAUGAUGGAUGGUCCCACACCUACCUAAGGUCACCUCUCAGCCUGAGCAUAAGAUUGGGCCCCUGCUUCCCCCAAUAAUCAAUUUCCUAGUCUCUACUGUAUCAUUCAUUCUUGCAUACAAAUGUGCUGUAAUGUUAAUACCUCUCAUUAGAACAAACAAAAUGAAACCAAAUAAAUGAAAAUAAAAUGGUCCCAUUAAAAUCCACCACUUGGUCCCAUAUCCCCCUCCAACCAGUGCCCCAUUUCUAUGACUUUCCUUAUAGAACAAUACUUGAGUCCAUUCUCUCACCUACUGUGUUGUCUUUUAUUUUUAUCAGAUACAUAUAUGCACAUAUAUUGAAAAAUAAAUACCACUACAAGUCCUGUUAAUGAAAAUAAGUGAGUAGGUGAAAGUCACUUAGUUGUAUUCAACUCUUUGCAACCCCAUGGAUUGCAGCCUCCGUCCAUGGAACUCUCCAGGCAAGAAUACUGGAGUGGGUAGCCAUUCCCUUCUCCAGAGGAUCUUCCUGACCCAGGGAAUGAACCCAGGUUUCCUGCAUUUAAUGCAGAUUCUUUGCCAUCUAAGCCACCAGGGGAGUCUCCCCAAUCUUCCAUACAUCCCAUUUCUGAUCUUAGUGCCAACCUCUUUAACGUUUGUGUCUGUUUCUCUUAUUGGUAUUUCUGUUCCUCUAAAUAGCACAUUCAUAGUGCUCUUUCUUUGUUUUUGUUUAUGUAUCAUUUUAGUGAAUUAGCUCUCUUUAACAUACCAUCAUCCUUCAAAUAGUUAUUUUAUCAUUUUUAUUAGCUCAAUGUUCAGUGUCUACAUUAUUAUGACCGUGUAAAUAAAUGCAUUUAGUAGACUAAAUAGCAUUUAGUAGACUAUGAUAAUUUUUUUCCCUUGAAUUUUUAAAACCAUUGUUCUGGAGUUAAUAAAUGUCUUAUUCCUUC
RNA transcript from Cervus elaphus (red deer), 6659 nucleotides. It is a transcript of the gene named BOLA class I histocompatibility antigen, alpha chain BL3-7, with no coding region annotated. The record is from RefSeq and is a predicted model, not a curated record. The transcript has 10 exons. NCBI's taxonomy places the organism in Eukaryota, Metazoa, Chordata, Mammalia, Artiodactyla, Cervidae.